AGGACAUUGUCAUAAUUUCACUUUGUAGGUUAGCCAAAUCCGACUCACACCCACGUCGGCAACAGAGAGUGACUGAAAAAGAACUACACACUUCAAAAAGCCAACCAGAAAAACUUGAAUAAGGAAAAAUAAAAAUUAUGGCAUUCCAUUUCUUAUUGCGUUUUUGCUCGGCCAAAUCCAAAUUUCAUGACCCAAUUUACACUCUCUCUCAAUCUCUGCAAAACUGAGUGCUUCCCGUGAAACGUGCGCAAUAAGGAAGAAGCUAUAGCAGAAGGUUCAGAUGACGAGGAAGAAUUGUAAGCAUUGAGAGCGCGGCUUGCUCAAGUCAGAUCAUAAUUGCUCAUGAAAUUGUUUCCUUUGCUUCAUUGUCAUUAGGAAGAAGUGUGGUUGUGCUUAUUCUGUAAAGCCUAUUAGCAGUACAUGUAAUGAUGCUUGGAUACAACUUAACAAUAGCAUUAACUCGAAUAUUAUUUUAUGAACAACAGAAAUUAGUUCUUCUGUAAUAAAUGUUAUAUUACAAGGUUCUGUUUAUUAUAGUGAAUCUAGAUCAGAUGCUUUCCAGGGUAAAGUAAUUAUCAUUUUAUGCAUAUGCUCAUGUAAGAAGCUAGGCUAUGGUCAUCAACUACUUCUGUACUUCUACCACAUUCUGUACUACUGCAUGUCAUAUUUUAACUUUUAAAUGGCCUUAAAGAAAAUAAGGCCCAACUGAAUUCGAUAUCGAUGCACUUGGGAGAAAUUGUUGGUAUUGCUUUGUACUCUUAAACAAUAUUCUAGUUCCUGCAUGACUAUGUAACAUAUGUAAAUGUUUACAAUAUGCUGACUUUUAACUUUUAAGCUAAUUGGCAUGAACUGUCUGAAUAAUUUGGUACAUGAUAUAAGUACUUUAUACGCUCAGUCGCCUUUUUAUCUUCUAUGUACGUAACUCCACAAUCCACCCCCAGCCCCUUUUCCUUGGCUGAAAUCAGCUUUAUGAUAUGUUUUAUGUGCUUGCAGCCCUUGCUCAUACUGUGAAUCAUCCAUCGAAGAGUACAGAGAAAGCUCCAGAAAUGGCUGUCAUAACGCAAGAAUUUACCAAAGAAAUCACCAAGGUAAUAUCCAUUUCAGUGCUUUUUGGUUGCCCGUGGGAGCUUUUCCCAUGUUAGACCGCGUCUACUUUCUUAAGUUUUAGCAGAGGUUACUUGGUGCUCUCUGCUCUUGUUCAAGUGGGAAUUUCAUCUUGUUUUAUUGUCCAUUUUUUUGGGGUCUGUUUAGUUGGCUUAAGAUGCGUAAUGGUAGCUCAUGUUGUAGAACCCUGGGUUUUAUUUGUUCAUUGUUUAACCUUUUAGAAACUAUCUUUAUCCUUUAUUUAUUAAUUUUUGAGACAUACAUGUCUGGAAAUUUCAGGAAAUACACUGUGUGACACUUGUUAGGUGCUCGUGUAUUAUGUAUUUAUGUGUAUAAGCUUACAAUAGUAUAAU
Long non-coding RNA from Rosa rugosa (rugosa rose), 1457 nucleotides. RefSeq lists it as uncharacterized. The transcript is spliced from 3 exons. The record is from RefSeq and is a predicted model, not a curated record. NCBI's taxonomy places the organism in Eukaryota, Viridiplantae, Streptophyta, Magnoliopsida, Rosales, Rosaceae.